AAUUGACCUCGGAUCAGGUAGGGAUACCCGCUGAACUUAAGCAUAUCAAUAAGCGGAGGAAAAGAAACCAACCGGGAUUGCCUCAGUAACGGCGAGUGAAGCGGCAACAGCUCAAAUUUGAAAUCUGACCCUGUCGGGGUUCGAGUUGUAAUUUGUAGAGGAUGUUUCGGGCGCGAAGCCGGUCUAAGUCCCUUGGAACGGGGCGUCAUAGAGGGUGAGAAUCCCGUCUGUGACCGGCGAUCAAGCCUCUGUGAAACUCCUUCGACGAGUCGAGUUGUUUGGGAAUGCAGCUCAAAAUGGGUGGUAAAUUUCAUCUAAAGCUAAAUACUGGCCAGAGACCGAUAGCGCACAAGUAGAGUGAUCGAAAGAUGAAAAGCACUUUGGAAAGAGAGUCAAAAAGUACGUGAAAUUGUUGAAAGGGAAGCGCUUGCAACCAGACCUGCCCGCGGGCGAUCAGCCGUCCCUUCCAGGGCGGUGCACGCGCCCGCGAACAGGCCAGCAUCGGUUCGGGCGGCCGGAUAAAGGCCCGGGGAACGUAGCUCCUCUCGGGGAGUGUUAUAGCCCCGGGUGCAAUGCGGCCCGCCUGGACCGAGGACCGCGCUUCGGCUAGGAUGCUGGCGUAAUGGUUGUAAGCGGCCCGUCUUGAAACACGGACCAAGGAGUCUAACAUCUAUGCGAGUGUUUGGGUGUCAAACCCAUGCGCGUAAUGAAAGUGAACGGAGGUAGGAACCCACCAGGGCGCACUAUCGACCGAUCCUGAAGUCUUCGGAUGGAUUUGAGUACGAGCAUAGCUGUUGGAACCCGAAAGAUGGUGAACUAUGCCUGAAUAGGGUGAAGCCAGAGGAAACUCUGGUGGAGGCUCGCAGCGGUUCUGACGUGCAAAUCGAUCGUCAAAUUUGGGUAUAGGGGCGAAAGACUAAUCGAACCCUCUAGUAGCUGGUUCCACCCCGAAGUUCCUUU
This 960-nucleotide ribosomal RNA is filed under the name [Fulgensia] bracteata var. alpina. RNAcentral's name for it is "eukaryotic LSU rRNA". It matches the Rfam family "Eukaryotic large subunit ribosomal RNA", at positions 1 to 973 of the family's 3401-position model. The record is from RNAcentral. Lineage: Eukaryota; Fungi; Ascomycota; Lecanoromycetes; Teloschistales; Teloschistaceae.